This 504-nucleotide ribosomal RNA is filed under the name uncultured marine eukaryote. RNAcentral's name for it is "bacterial SSU rRNA". It matches the Rfam family "Eukaryotic small subunit ribosomal RNA", at positions 631 to 1121 of the family's 1831-position model. The record is from RNAcentral.
UAGUUGGAUUUCUGUCAGUAACUACCGGUCCGCCCUUCGCGGUUGGUACUCGUUAGGCUACUGGCAUCUUCCUGGGGACUGUGUCUGCUCUUCGUUGAGUGGCGCAUAAUCCAGGACUUUUACUUUGAGGAAAUGAGAGUGUUUCAAGCAGGCAUGCGCCGUGAAUACGUUAGCAUGGAAUAAUAGCAUCGGACCUCGUUCCAAAGCUGUUGGUUUCUUGGACCGAGGUAAAGGUGAAUAGGGAUUGUUGGGGGCAUUCGUAUUUAACUGUCAGAGGUGAAAAUUCUUGGGAUUUUGGUUGAAAGAACGGGAACUACCUGGCGAAAAGCCAUUCUGGCCAAUUGAAUGUUUCUCAUUGAUCAAGAACGAAAGUUAGGUGAUCGAAGACGAUCAGAUACCGUCCUAGUCUUAACCAUAAACUAUGCCGACUGGAGAUCGGGGGACGUUAACUUUGUGACGCCCUCUGCAUCUUGAGAGAAAUCAAAGUCUUUGGGUUCCGGGGGG